UUUUUCGCCUCAGGCGAAAUAGCAAACAGAGAGGUACUUUUCAACUGGAACUUUUCGNCUCAGGCACACGAUUUUUCGCCUGGGGCGAAAAAAAGCAGAAUAUUAGCUAUUUUUCUUCAUUCUUCAGCUACUUUCAUCCUUUGCAAAUAUCUUCAAACUAGUGCAUUAUUCUUCCAUGAAAUGAGUUACAAUUCUUCUAAAAAACACUUGAAAUUGGUCUUAUUUUCAUGUAAUGACGCAUGUCAUCAC
RNAcentral lists this long non-coding RNA (249 nucleotides) under Trifolium pratense (red clover). Its description in RNAcentral is "long non-coding RNA (TPRA_LNC013727)". The record is from RNAcentral. Lineage: Eukaryota; Viridiplantae; Streptophyta; Magnoliopsida; Fabales; Fabaceae.